UCUCCGUAGGUGAACCUGCGGAAGGAUCAUUAGUGAAUUGAAUAUGUUAGCGGACCUCUUCGGAGUCCCUAGCAUCAAAUCAUAUCCAUAACACCUGUGAACUGUAAGGCUGUCUUGAAAACGAAAGUGAUUAGAGCGCCUGCCAUUUUAUACAAACAUUAAAGUAACAAACGUAGUCUUAUUAUAAUCUAAUAAAACUUUCAACAACGGAUCUCUUGGCUCUCGCAUCGAUGAAGAAGCAGC
Molecule: unclassified non-coding RNA, 243 nt
Filed under: plant metagenome
Description: partial contains small subunit ribosomal RNA, internal transcribed spacer 1, and 5.8S ribosomal RNA
Rfam family: 5.8S ribosomal RNA (bases 196-243)
Source: RNAcentral